AUUGAACGCUGGCGGCAUGCCUUACACAUGCAAGUCGAACGGCAGCACGGGAGCAAUCCUGGUGGCGAGUGGCGAACGGGUGAGUAAUAUAUCGGAACGUGCCCAGUCGUGGGGGAUAACGCAGCGAAAGCUGUGCUAAUACCGCAUACGAUCUAAGGAUGAAAGCGGGGGAUCGCAAGACCUCGCGCGAUUGGAGCGGCCGAUAUCAGAUUAGCUAGUUGGUGGGGUAAAGGCCCACCAAGGCGACGAUCUGUAGCUGGUCUGAGAGGACGACCAGCCACACUGGAACUGAGACACGGUCCAGACUCCUACGGGAGGCAGCAGUGGGGAAUUUUGGACAAUGGGCGCAAGCCUGAUCCAGCAAUGCCGCGUGCAGGAUGAAGGCCUUCGGGUUGUAAACUGCUUUUGUACGGAACGAAACGGCCCUUUCUAAUACAGGGGGCUAAUGACGGUACCGUAAGAAUAAGCACCGGCUAACUACGUGCCAGCCGCCGCCGUAA
RNAcentral lists this ribosomal RNA (500 nucleotides) under uncultured bacterium. Its description in RNAcentral is "partial 16S ribosomal RNA". It matches the Rfam family "Bacterial small subunit ribosomal RNA", at positions 30 to 523 of the family's 1533-position model. The record is from RNAcentral.